CAGUGUGGAAAAUGGCUAUGCAUUUUCUGGACCCUCUUGUCAUUCAUUCUUUAGGUUCCAAGUGUAACAUUAGUCUCACCCUAGUCAGUUCUUCUCAUCAUGUUAUCUUCUAGGCCUAGCACAGGAUAUAUGGAAAAUUUUGUUUAAGGCACUUCAACCUGAGGGUUCAUACCUUUCAAUUUAGGAAAAUGUUCUACUGGUCAUCUUCUUCUAUUUUGUCUCCCUCAGAAUACCUAUUAGAGCAUAUGCUGAAGACCACAUGAGGUGGACUGCACAGCUAUUGGAUUCUUGAACCUUUCAUUGGUAGACAGCCAUUAUUGGACUAGCUGGACUACAGACUGCUGUUCCAGUCCUAAUAGCAGCUGGAGCUUCUGAAGGCCACAGUAACCAUCCAGUUCCUUUCAUGGAAAAUACCAAAUUGGGACUAUGGAAGAAAAGCUGCUGGCUGACCAGCUGCUUACACUUGGAAAAUAACAGCACAAGGCUCCUGGUACCAAAUUUACUAAGAGUUUCAAGACUGUUAUAUCAAAACAUUAACUGAAGCAUGGAGCAUGUCAGGACAUUGUAGGCAUAAGGUUAUUGGUAAUUCAAAUGCUGACUUCUUUAUCCCCCCGUAUCUGUUUGUAAGCCUUGUUCUGAGAAUCUCAGUCUCAAUGUUUGUAUAAACUCUGUCCCCCAAUGGUCCCCUGAAAUGUCAAUAAAGCAGCUUACAGCCAAUCACUGAGCAGGGAAGAGAAUAGGGCUGGACUUCCUGUCAGCCAGGGGAGGAUGAGUUAGAGGAGAGGAAGCAGGGAAUUCAGCCAAGGGAUUCAGCCAUGGGCAGAGGUCCAAGAGACACCAGGAGAGAGAGCUCAUGGGCAAAGCUACAAAGUGCAAGUACCCUGGGAGGAAGCCAAAUUAGCUUAGAGGGUUAAGAGUAGAGUAAUAACAGUUCAGUUAUUGUGUUCUGAAGCUUAUUAUUAAACAAAUAUAAGAGUCUCAAUUAUUUAUAUGAUAACCGGGUUAAGAGAGAAACAAAGCUUUUUUAAAAAGUUAUGUAAGAGUAACUAUAACAGGGAAUGGUCAGGGAAACUGCAUGAUCUGCAGACCCAUGAGCCUCUCACCCUGCCUUGUUUGAAAUCUGUCUUUUAUA
This is a long non-coding RNA of Psammomys obesus (fat sand rat), 1132 nucleotides long. RefSeq lists it as uncharacterized. The record is from RefSeq and is a predicted model, not a curated record. NCBI's taxonomy places the organism in Eukaryota, Metazoa, Chordata, Mammalia, Rodentia, Muridae. The transcript is spliced from 3 exons.